This 462-nucleotide ribosomal RNA is filed under the name uncultured bacterium. Its description in RNAcentral is "partial 16S ribosomal RNA". It matches the Rfam family "Bacterial small subunit ribosomal RNA", at positions 28 to 507 of the family's 1533-position model. The record is from RNAcentral.
GACGAACGCUGGCGGCGUGCUUAACACAUGCAAGUCGAACGGUGAAGCCCUUCGGGGUGGAUCAGUGGCGAACGGGUGCGUAACACGUGAGCAACCUGCCCCUGGCUCUGGGACAACCACUGGAAACGGUGGCUAAUACCGGAAACGACCCGCCUCGGCAUCUAGUGUGGGUGGAACGGUUUUCGGCUGGGGAUGGGCUCGCGGCCGAUCAGCUUGUUGGUGAGGUGAAGGCUCACCAAGGCGACGACGGGCAGCCGGCCUGAGAGGGCGACCGGCCACAGUGGGACUGAGACACGGCACAGACUCCUACGGGAGGCAGCAGUGGGGAAUAGUGCACAAUGGGCGAAAGCCUGAUGCAGCGACGCCGCGUGAGGGAUGACGGCCUUCGGGUUGUAAACCUCUUUCAGCUCCGAAGAAGCGAAAGUGACGGUAGGAGCAGAAGAAGCACCGGCUAACUACGUG